RNAcentral lists this ribosomal RNA (844 nucleotides) under Xeroplexa belemensis. Its description in RNAcentral is "partial 16S ribosomal RNA". The stretch from base 335 to 575 matches the Rfam family "Archaeal large subunit ribosomal RNA", at positions 1788 to 2146 of the family's 2987-position model. The record is from RNAcentral. Lineage: Eukaryota; Metazoa; Mollusca; Gastropoda; Stylommatophora; Geomitridae.
AUAAUUUAAUAUAUUAUCACGAAGGAGAUUGAGCUAAUUAUUUAAGUCUAAUAGGACCACAAUCAUAUGUUGCAGCAUGUGGCUWAUAUAUUUAAUUAGGGGUGAUAGGCCUCACAAGACCUCCGAUAUCUUGUUUCUUAGGAAAUAUAUUAAGUAUGUCUUUAAUUUAGGAGUGUUUAGGCUCUUAAAUGUUACAAAAUUAAUUUUAUGACAUAAUAAACUACCUAACGGUAAUUAUUUUAAUAAGUUAAUAUUAACUAUUUAUAUUUGUAUCUUCUACUAGGAUAUGCGUUGCAAUUAACUAUGUAUUAUUACUGUUAAUAUUAGUAUCCACCAAAAGUUUUUGUAGGAACUCGGCAAACUACUUCUCAACUGUUUAUCAAAAACAUAGCUAGGUGAACAUUAAUAUCUAGUGACUCCUGCUCAAUGGUUUAGCUAAAUAGCCGCAGUACCCUGACUGUGCAAAGGUAGCAUAAUCACUUGGCUUAUAAUUAAAGUCUGGCAUGAAAGGAUAUUUGGGAAGUGACUGUCUUUUAAGUCUUACCAGAAAUUACUUAGCAAGUGAAAAUUCUUGCAAAUACCAAAUAGACGAGAAGACCCUAGAAGUUUUAUGCAUUAGUAGUUGGGAUACUAGUACUAUUUUGUUGGGGCGACAGAGUAGCAGUAAACCUAUUUUUACAAAUUAGAACUAUAUGUUGAGUUAAAUUAAACUACUCUAGGGAUAACAGCAUAAUUUAUUAAAGUUUGUGACCUCGAUGUUGGACUAGGGAUCUUAGUGCCUAGAAGGUGCUGUGUCAAGCUCUGUUCGAGCUACUACCCCUACAUGAUCUGAGUUCAGACCGGC